Molecule: long non-coding RNA, 924 nt
Organism: Pelmatolapia mariae (spotted tilapia)
Lineage: Eukaryota; Metazoa; Chordata; Actinopteri; Cichliformes; Cichlidae
Exons: 2
Source: RefSeq, a predicted model, not a curated record
CCUGAAAAUCUUAGAAAUAUGGUAUCUAAGCAGAUCCUUACUCUGGAUGGCAUUACCUUGGCCUCCAGUAAUGCUGUGAGGAACCUUGGAGUCAUUUUUGACCAGGACAUGUCCUUCAAGGCACAUAUUAAACAAAUAUGUAAGACUGCUUUCUUCCAUUUGCGCAACAUCUCUAAAAUUAGAAAUAUCCUGUCUCAGAGUGAUGCUGAAAAACUAGUUCAUGCCUUCAUUACUUCCAGGCUGGACUACUGUAACUCAUUAUUAUCAGGAUGUCCUAAAAACUCGCUGAAAAGUCUUCAGUUAAUCCAAAAUGCUGCAGCAAGAGUACUGACAGGGACUAGAAAGAGAGAGCAUAUUUCUCCUGUUUUGGCUUCCCUUCAUUGGCUUCCUGUUAAAUCCAGAAUUGAAUUCAAAAUCCUGCUCCUCACAUACAAGGUCUUAAAUAAUCAGGCCCCAUCUUAUCUUAAUGACCUUGUAGUACCAUAUCACCCUAUUAGAGCACUUCGCUCUCGCUCUGCAGGCUUACUUGUUGUUCCUAGAGUAUUUAAAAGUAGAAUGGGAGGGAGAGCCUUCAGUUUUCAGGCCCCUCUUCUGUGGAACCAGCUUCCAGUUUGGAUUCAGGAGACAGACACUAUCUCUACUUUCAAGCAUGUCUUUCAUCCUGUUUUCCUUCUUUCACCCCAACCGGUCGCAGCAGAUGGCCGCCCCUCCCUGAGCCUGGUUCUGCCGGAGGUUUCUUCCUGUUAAAAGGGAGUUUUUCCUUCCCACUGUCGCCAAAGUGCUUGCUCAUAGGGGGUCAUAUGAUAUGAUUGUUGGGUUUUUCUCUGUAUUUAUUAUUGUGCUAUCUACUGUACAAUAUAAAGCGCCUUGAGGCGACUUUUGUUGUGAUUUGGCGCUAUAUAAAUAAAAUUGAAUUGAAUUGAA